CCUACGGGUGGCUGCAGUGGGGAAUAUUGGACAUUGGGCGAAAGCCUGAUCCAGCCAUGCCGCGUGUGUGAAGAAGGCCUUCGGGUUGUAAAGCACUUUCAGUGGGGAAGAAAGCCUUGGGGCUAAUACCCUCGAGGAAGGACAUCACCCACAGAAGAAGCACCGGCUAACUCCGUGCCAGCAGCCGCGGUAAUACGGAGGGUGCGAGCGUUAAUCGGAAUUACUGGGCGUAAAGCGCGCGUAGGCGGUCUGAUAAGCCGGUUGUGAAAGCCCCGGGCUCAACCUGGGAACGGCAUCCGGAACUGUCAGGCUAGAGUGCAGGAGAGGAAGGUAGAAUUCCCGGUGUAGCGGUGAAAUGCGUAGAGAUCGGGAGGAAUACCAGUGGCGAAGGCGGCCUUCUGGACUGACACUGACGCUGAGGUGCGAAAGCGUGGGUAGCAAACAGGAUUAGAUACCCCGGUAGUC
Molecule: ribosomal RNA, 465 nt
Filed under: Vreelandella stevensii
Lineage: Bacteria; Pseudomonadati; Pseudomonadota; Gammaproteobacteria; Oceanospirillales; Halomonadaceae
Description: partial 16S ribosomal RNA
Rfam family: Bacterial small subunit ribosomal RNA
Source: RNAcentral